CGAAGGGUGCUAGCGUUGUUCGGAAUCACUGGGCGUAAAGCGCGCGCAUGCGGCUUUGCAAGUCAGGGGUGAAAUCCUUGGGCUCAACCCAAGAAUUGCCUUUGAAACUGCAUCGCUGGAGUGUCGGAGGGGAUAGCGGAAUUCCUAAUGUAGUGGUGAAAUACGUAGAUAUUAGGAGGAACACCGGUGGCGAAGGCGGCUAUCUGGACGACAACUGACGCUGAGGCGCGAAAGCGUGGGGAUCAAACAGGAUUAGAUACCCUGGUAGUCCACGCUGUAAACGAUGGAUGCUAGCCGUUGGGGGGUUACCUCUCGGUGGCGUAGCUAACGCGAUAAGCAUCCCGCCUGGGGAGUACGGUCGCAAGAUUA
This 369-nucleotide ribosomal RNA is filed under the name uncultured organism. RNAcentral describes it as "bacterial SSU rRNA". It matches the Rfam family "Bacterial small subunit ribosomal RNA", at positions 526 to 896 of the family's 1533-position model. The record is from RNAcentral.